CGCUUUGUGGCUUUCUGGCAGAUCUGGAAGGCUUGGGUUUUGCCUGAUUCUGUUCUAGUCUGAGCGAAGUGGCC
This 74-nucleotide transfer RNA is filed under the name Fonsecaea multimorphosa. Its description in RNAcentral is "tRNA-Pro". The record is from RNAcentral. Lineage: Eukaryota; Fungi; Ascomycota; Eurotiomycetes; Chaetothyriales; Herpotrichiellaceae.